Molecule: long non-coding RNA, 233 nt
Filed under: Eucalyptus grandis
Lineage: Eukaryota; Viridiplantae; Streptophyta; Magnoliopsida; Myrtales; Myrtaceae
Description: long non-coding RNA (EGRA_LNC006811)
Source: RNAcentral
UCAUUUCAUCCUCAUCACCCAUCCAUCUCCACCACCACAUCAUCACCAUCUAUCAUCAUCCCAUCUUCCACCAUCACCCCCUCGCCCAACACUCGCGACCAGCAACCCCACACCAGCAUCAUUCCCUUCAUUUUGUUGAUGCCGCAUCAUCCGCCACCAGCUACCCGUGUCUAGCAAGCUGCAUCCGUCACGGAAGCUAGCUCUUUCGCGACCAGCUUGUUUCGGCAAGCUCA